CAGUCGCCGCGGUAAUACGUAGGUGACGAGCGUUGUCCGGAAUUAUUGGGCGCAAAGGGAGCGCAGGCGGUUGGAAUAGUCUGAUGUGAAAGCCCACGGCUUAACCGUGGAAGGUCAUUGGAAACUGUCCAACUUGAAUGCAGAAGAGGAAAGUGGAAUUCCAUGUGUAGCGGUGAAAUGCGUAGAUAUAUGGAGGAACACCAGUGGCGAAGGCGACUUUCUGGUCUGUAAUUGACGCUGAGGAGCGAAAGCGUGGGGAGCGAACAGGAUUAGAUACCCCAGUAGUCCCUGUCUCUUAUAC
Molecule: ribosomal RNA, 301 nt
Filed under: uncultured bacterium
Lineage: Bacteria
Description: partial 16S ribosomal RNA
Rfam family: Bacterial small subunit ribosomal RNA
Source: RNAcentral